CAACACAAACCAUUCUGGGAUUCUGUAAAGGUGCAGAGCACUGGCCCUUCUGCUUUCCCUUAACAAUUCUACAGACUUUAGUUUUCUUUUUUCCAUAAAUUUCAUUACUUAUUCUCUAAGAACGCUCUUCUCACCAGUGUUUCUGUGAUUGGUUUCACUGAGAGGGACUGAAAAGGGAAUGACAGAACUCCAGUGGUGCCAAGAGAGAAAGAAAACUUAAGAACAAGAAUUGCAGUGGCUCUGUCCUCUCCCGGGGCCGUGGAGAACAUGUUUUCACUUGCAUGACAGUUUUAUGUGUUUCUGAGGCUCAAAUAUCUGCUGAGGGUUUUGCAGCCAACAUUUUAGGUCUGUUCAAGAGACCUUGGUCAGUGGGAACAGGAACUGGAGGGAGGUGUUCUCUGGAAUGUGAGCUAGAACAGAGCAGCUCUGCCUGGGGUGGGCCGAGAAUUGGAAUUAAUUAGGUAUGGAAUUAAAAUAACAGUGGUUCCCAUUGACAGAAGACAGCAUAAUCCAGAUUAAGCAAGAGGAAGAGUUGUGCACUGCUGUUCAGGAGGAGGAGGAGGCUGGAGAAGCUCCUGGAGAGCCCUGCCCAGAUCUUUUAGAAGUGUUGAGCAGACUUGCCAGCAGCCCCAACAGCAGAGCAAACGUUUUGUGAUCCUGAGGCGUCCAGUCAGACCAGGAAAGGCAACGAGGUGGAUGCCAGGGAGCUGCCAGGCACUGAGGGUGAGGACAUUCCAAGA
Long non-coding RNA from Corapipo altera (White-ruffed manakin), 740 nucleotides. RefSeq lists it as uncharacterized. The record is from RefSeq and is a predicted model, not a curated record. The transcript has 3 exons. NCBI's taxonomy places the organism in Eukaryota, Metazoa, Chordata, Aves, Passeriformes, Pipridae.